GGAAUCUUCCACAAUGGACGAAAGUCUGAUGGAGCAAUGCCGCGUGAGUGAAGAAGGGUUUCGGCUCGUAAAACUCUGUUGUUAAAGAAGAACACCUUUGAGAGUAACUGUUCAAGGGUUGACGGUAUUUAACCAGAAAGCCACGGCUAACUACGUGCCAGCAGCCGCGGUAAUACGUAGGUGGCAAGCGUUGUCCGGAUUUAUUGGGCGUAAAGCGAGCGCAGGCGGUUUUUUAAGUCUGAUGUGAAAGCCUUCGGCUUAACCGGAGAAGUGCAUCGGAAACUGGGAGACUUGAGUGCAGAAGAGGACAGUGGAACUCCAUGUGUAGCGGUGGAAUGCGUAGAUAUAUGGAAGAACACCAGUGGCGAAGGCGGCUGUCUAGUCUGUAACUGACGCUGAGGCUCGAAAGCAUGGGUAGCGAACA
This 424-nucleotide ribosomal RNA is filed under the name uncultured Lactobacillus sp. RNAcentral describes it as "bacterial SSU rRNA". It matches the Rfam family "Bacterial small subunit ribosomal RNA", at positions 358 to 774 of the family's 1533-position model. Lineage: Bacteria; Bacillati; Bacillota; Bacilli; Lactobacillales; Lactobacillaceae. The record is from RNAcentral.